Molecule: transfer RNA, 66 nt
Filed under: Thelepus plagiostoma
Lineage: Eukaryota; Metazoa; Annelida; Polychaeta; Terebellida; Terebellidae
Description: tRNA-Gly
Source: RNAcentral
AACUUCUUAGUAUAGUCCAUUACAACUACCUUCCAAGUAGAAAACUUAAAUAUUUUAAAGAAGUUA